UUAUAAGUGCAAUCAAAGCUGAGAAUAGUGAGAUGACCAGAGAGCUCUGCGAGCCAUGUAUCCCAAGAUCGCUUCAGUCAUAACAAAUCUGGGAGAGGCCCCAUGAUGGACAGCUGGUUUACAGCCGAUGUCAGGCAUUAACAGAUUUGAUCCGCACCGGAGGAGGAGGGCGGGCAGCCGCGGCCGGACGGAGCCGUGGGUGGCGGGCGUCUCACGCCAACGGCUUCGCCGUGAUUCAUGGCUCGGGGAGGAUUUCCAGCUUCACAUCCGCAGAUUUACUGCGCUGUACGAGUUCAGUGUGUGCGCAGAAAUACUGGGCGAACGGAGUCAGAGGGCUGAAAGUGCGCUUGGAAAGAUGGAACGAAGGAUAAGGGGAGAACGGAGCGCAGAAUCCGAUACACCACAAGCCCCAACACUCUUCUGAUUGCAGCGAUUUCUGUUGACCCUGAGAAGGCCACGGUGUUGGCAGCUGCCGCAAACUAAUCUUCCGUUGCUAAAUUCUGCAUGCAUCCACAAGCAAAUGACAAUGACAGCGAUGGGGCAAUCAGGAGCUAUGCUGUACUAUGGUGCAUCUUCAGAAGCUGCCUUGGAGCUUGGAUCCGUCGCAUAAUGCAGCGACUACCAAUGCACAUGGAAUGUAAAAGACUGGUCAUUUGUGUGGCCCCAAGCACAGAUGACCAGUCAUAUGCAAACUAUGCUUCAUGACUGUCCCUGCGAGGUUUGGCUUCACUUAUUGUACUGUGCAUGUCAAUCUCAAGUGGCCUAAAGGAUUCAUUUAAUGUGUGGAAAAGAUAUAGAUGUAUGUUGUGCAUUGAUGGAGCAAGGAACUAGUAAUAUUGAGCACUAGAAGGCACACAUAAUGGCGAGAAACCUCUAAAGUCCGUGAUCUAAUGGUGUGUGAAGGCUUGUGUGCGUGUGUGUAGGUGCGUGUGGGUGUGUGUGUGUGUGUGUGGGUGUGUUGUGUUUUCAGCACAAUAAGGUAAUAAUAUUGUUUGAAAAUGGUGAAAUCACACAAAUAUGAAGACUGCUGUUUGUCCUUUUGACA
Long non-coding RNA from Clupea harengus (Atlantic herring), 1045 nucleotides. RefSeq lists it as uncharacterized. The record is from RefSeq and is a predicted model, not a curated record. NCBI's taxonomy places the organism in Eukaryota, Metazoa, Chordata, Actinopteri, Clupeiformes, Clupeidae.